RNAcentral lists this ribosomal RNA (118 nucleotides) under Salmonella enterica subsp. enterica serovar Paratyphi B var. L(+) tartrate +. Lineage: Bacteria; Pseudomonadati; Pseudomonadota; Gammaproteobacteria; Enterobacterales; Enterobacteriaceae. The record is from RNAcentral.
UCUGGCGGCAGUAGCGCGGUGGUCCCACCUGACCCCAUGCCGAACUCAGAAGUGAAACGCCGUAGCGCCCCGAUGGUAGUGUGGGGUCUCCCCAUGCGAGAGUAGGGAACUGCCAGAC